Molecule: ribosomal RNA, 1132 nt
Filed under: uncultured bacterium
Lineage: Bacteria
Description: bacterial SSU rRNA
Rfam family: Bacterial small subunit ribosomal RNA
Source: RNAcentral
AGGGACCACAAUUGGGCACACCCUGUGAUACACACCCCAUGCGCGGUGAGAUGAAGGAAGGCCCUUCGGGUGUAAAGCUCUUUCAGCCGGGAGAAACGCCAUGGGUUAAUACCUGUGUGGAUGACGUACCGGAAAAGAAGCACCGGCUAACUACGUGCCAGCAGCCGCGGUAAUACGUAGGGUGCGAGCGUAAUCGGAAUUACUGGGCGUAAAGCGUGCGCAGGCGGUUUUGUAAGACAGGCGUGAAAUCCCCGGGCUCAACCUGGGAACUGCGUUUGUGACUGCAAGGCUAGAGUAUGGCAGAGGGGGGUGGAAUUCCACGUGUAGCAGUGAAAUGCGUAGAGAUGUGGAGGAACACCGAUGGCGAAGGCAGCCCCCUGGGCCAAUACUGACGCUCAUGCACGAAAGCGUGGGUAGCAAACAGGAUUAGAUACCCUGGUAGUCCACGCCCUAAACGAUGUCAACUAGGUGUUGGGUGGGUAAAACCAUUUAGUACCGGAGCUAACGCGUGAAGUUGACCGCCUGGGGAGUACGGCCGCAAGGUUAAAACUCAAAGGAAUUGACGGGGACCCGCACAAGCGGUGGAUGAUGUGGAUUAAUUCGAUGCAACGCGAAAAACCUUACCUACCCUUGACAUGUCCGGAAGCCCUUAGAGAUUUGGGUGUGCUCGAAAGAGAGCCGGAACACAGGUGCUGCAUGGCUGUCGUCAGCUCGUGUCGUGAGAUGUUGGGUUAAGUCCCGCAACGAGCGCAACCCUUGUCGUUAAUUGCCAUCAUUCAGUUGGGCACUUUAACGAGACUGCCGGUGACAAACCGGAGGAAGGUGGGGAUGACGUCAAGUCCUCAUGGCCCUUAUGGGUAGGGCUUCACACGUCAUACAAUGGUCGGUACAAAGGGUCGCCAACCCGCGAGGGGGAGCCAAUCCCAGAAAGCCGAUCGUAGUCCGGAUCGUAGGCUGCAACUCGCCUGCGUGAAGUCGGAAUCGCUAGUAAUCGUGGAUCAGCAUGUCACGGUGAAUACGUUCCCGGGUCUUGUACACAUCGCCCGUCACACCAUGGGAGCGGGUUCCGCCAGAAGUAGGUAGCCUAACCGCAAGGGGGGCGCUUACCACGGCGGGGUUCGUGACUGGGGUG